This 253-nucleotide ribosomal RNA is filed under the name uncultured bacterium. RNAcentral's name for it is "partial 16S ribosomal RNA". It matches the Rfam family "Bacterial small subunit ribosomal RNA", at positions 524 to 776 of the family's 1533-position model. The record is from RNAcentral.
UACGUAGGGGGCAAGCGUUGUCCGGAUUUAUUGGGCGUAAAGAGCGUGUAGGCGGCCUUGCAGGUCAGCUGUGAAAACUCGAGGCUCAACCUCGAGACGUCGGUUGAAACCGUAUGGCUAGAGUCCGGAAGAGGAGAGUGGAAUUCCCGGUGUAGCGGUGAAAUGCGCAGAUAUCGGGAAGAACACCUAUGGCGAAGGCAGCUCUCUGGGACGGUACUGACGCUGAGACGCGAAAGCGUGGGGAGCGAACAGG